Molecule: small nucleolar RNA, 67 nt
Organism: Suncus etruscus (white-toothed pygmy shrew)
Lineage: Eukaryota; Metazoa; Chordata; Mammalia; Eulipotyphla; Soricidae
Product: small nucleolar RNA SNORD109A
Exons: 1
Source: RefSeq, a predicted model, not a curated record
GGAUCGAUGAUGAGAAAAAUUGUCCGAGGACUUUAAGGGACUUAUUCCAGAUGUCAAUCUGAGGUCC